UAGGCCAGGUACUGAAUUUAGAGGCUGGAGUACUAGCAUACUAAACCAUGUGUAUGGACCUCAGUCUAUUUAAUAAACUCAUAACAUUGUUGAGAUCCAUUGCCAAGUCCCAAUCCAAUUAGGAUUUCAUUUUUAGUUGGUCAUUGAUUUUAAUGACUUUAAUUCUAUUCCUAAUAUUAUUUUAUUUAAUUAUUUUAUUUUAAAGGUUGUUAAAAUUUAUGUCCUAGU
RNAcentral lists this long non-coding RNA (228 nucleotides) under Elaeis guineensis (African oil palm). RNAcentral describes it as "long non-coding RNA (EGUI_LNC012942)". Lineage: Eukaryota; Viridiplantae; Streptophyta; Magnoliopsida; Arecales; Arecaceae. The record is from RNAcentral.